GUUGUGGCUCAGUGGUAGAACGCUCGCCUGGUACACGUGAGGCACUGGGUUCAAUCCUCAGCAUUACA
Molecule: transfer RNA, 68 nt
Filed under: Marmota monax (woodchuck)
Lineage: Eukaryota; Metazoa; Chordata; Mammalia; Rodentia; Sciuridae
Description: tRNA.Thr
Source: RNAcentral